UUAAAUUGAAGAGUUUGAUCAUGGCUCAGAUUGAACGCUGGCGGCAGGCCUAACACAUGCAAGUCGAACGGUAACAGGAAGAAGCUCGCUUCUU
Molecule: ribosomal RNA, 94 nt
Filed under: Escherichia coli
Lineage: Bacteria; Pseudomonadati; Pseudomonadota; Gammaproteobacteria; Enterobacterales; Enterobacteriaceae
Description: partial 16S ribosomal RNA
Rfam family: Bacterial small subunit ribosomal RNA
Source: RNAcentral